UGGCUCAGAUUGAACGCUGGCGGCAUGCCUUACACAUGCAAGUCGAACGGCAGCACGGGGGCAACCCUGGUGGCGAGUGGCGAACGGGUGAGUAAUACAUCGGAACGUGUCCUGUAGUGGGGGAUAGCCCGGCGAAAGCCGGAUUAAUACCGCAUACGAUCUGCGGAUGAAAGCGGGGGAUCCUUCGGGACCUCGCGCUGCAGGGGCGGCCGAUGGCAGAUUAGCUAGUUGGUGGGGUAAAGGCCUACCAAGGCGACGAUCUGUAGCUGGUCUGAGAGGACGACCAGCCACACUGGGACUGAGACACGGCCCAGACUCCUACGGGAGGCAGCAGUGGGGAAUUUUGGACAAUGGGCGCAAGCCUGAUCCGAGCAAUGCCGCGUGUGUGAAGAAGGCCUUCGGGUUGUAAAGCACUUUUGUCCGGAAAGAAAACCUCUUGGUUAAUACCUGAGGGGGAUGACGGUACCGGAAGAAUAAGCACCGGCUAACUACGUGCCAGCAGCCGCGGUAAUACGUAGGGUGCAAGCGUUAAUCGGAAUUACUGGGCGUAAAGCGUGCGCAGGCGGUUCGCUAAGACAGAUGUGAAAUCCCCGGGCUUAACCUGGGAACUGCAUUUGUGACUGGCGGGCUAGAGUAUGGCAGA
RNAcentral lists this ribosomal RNA (643 nucleotides) under Burkholderia sp. S4.LIG.006. RNAcentral describes it as "bacterial SSU rRNA". It matches the Rfam family "Bacterial small subunit ribosomal RNA", at positions 20 to 655 of the family's 1533-position model. Lineage: Bacteria; Pseudomonadati; Pseudomonadota; Betaproteobacteria; Burkholderiales; Burkholderiaceae. The record is from RNAcentral.